Molecule: long non-coding RNA, 469 nt
Organism: Ornithodoros turicata
Lineage: Eukaryota; Metazoa; Arthropoda; Arachnida; Ixodida; Argasidae
Exons: 3
Source: RefSeq, a predicted model, not a curated record
UCCGAUCCAGGUUCAUGUGCUCGCGCUGCCCUUUGUAACGUAAUACCGCUCGGAAUCAGGCUGCAGAGGAGUGACUUCUUGGGACGUGUAAAGCGGUAAAGGCUAUCUCGUGGGUGGCUGUGUGCGAUUCCGCGCGUCGAAAGGACGGUGGCCUGUCCUUCCACGUUUUUCCUCACGAGACGAAGACCACUGGGAAGCCGGCGACUUUGACAAAUCGUCGGAAGAGAUGGAUUGAGCGACUAAAGAUCGGGAAGCCCGUAACUUCAACGAUGUUGGUGUGCUCUCAGCACUUUAAGGCUGACGACUACUUUUUCCCAGGUGUGAAAUGCAAACGUCGUCGCUUGAAAUCAACAGCGAUUCCUUCACAAAAGCUGCCCGUAUCUAGUGUGCACAAUGCUGAGAAGGCAGCAAAGCUUGAAGCACUGCGUAUCAUGCGGCAAGAGAGAAGCAACAGAAGAAGUGCUGCACA